AUACGGAGGGUGCAAGCGAUUCUCGGAAUCACUGGGCGUAAAGCGCGCGCAGGCGGCUAUUUAAGUUGGAUGUGAAAGCCUACAGCUCAACUGUAGAACUGCAUCCAAAACUAUUUAGCUAGAGUGUGGGAGAGGAAGAUGGAAUUAGUUGUGUAGGGGUAAAAUCCGUAGAGAUAACUAGGAAUACCAAAAGCGAAGGCAAUCUUCUGGAACACUACUGACGCUGAGGCGCGAAAGCGUGGGGAGCAAACGGGAUUAGAGACCCUAGUAGUCC
This 274-nucleotide ribosomal RNA is filed under the name uncultured bacterium. Its description in RNAcentral is "partial 16S ribosomal RNA". It matches the Rfam family "Bacterial small subunit ribosomal RNA", at positions 523 to 796 of the family's 1533-position model. The record is from RNAcentral.